GCCAGACUCCUACGGGAGGCAGCAGUGAGGAAUAUUGGUCAAUGGCCGGAAGGCUGAACCAGCCAAGUCGCGUGAGGGAAUAAGGCCCUAUGGGUCGUAAACCUCUUUUGUCAGGGAGCAAAGGCGUCCACGUGUGGACGAGAGGAGAGUACCUGAAGAAAAAGCAUCGGCUAACUCCGUGCCAGCAGCCGCGGUAAUACGGAGGAUGCGAGCGUUAUCCGGAUUUAUUGGGUUUAAAGGGUGCGUAGGCGGAGUGUCAAGUCAGCGGUAAAAUUUCGGGGCUCAACCCCGUCGUGCCGUUGAAACUGGCGGGCUGGAGUUGGAGAGAAGUACGCGGAAUGCGCGGUGUAGCGGUGAAAUGCUUAGAUAUCGCGCAGAACCCCGAUUGCGAAGGCAGCGUACCGGCUCCACACUGACGCUGAGGCACGAAAGCGUGGGUAUCGAACAGGAUUAGAUACCCCCGUA
This 465-nucleotide ribosomal RNA is filed under the name uncultured bacterium. Its description in RNAcentral is "bacterial SSU rRNA". It matches the Rfam family "Bacterial small subunit ribosomal RNA", at positions 330 to 792 of the family's 1533-position model. The record is from RNAcentral.